RNAcentral lists this ribosomal RNA (253 nucleotides) under uncultured bacterium. RNAcentral describes it as "partial 16S ribosomal RNA". It matches the Rfam family "Bacterial small subunit ribosomal RNA", at positions 524 to 776 of the family's 1533-position model. The record is from RNAcentral.
UACGUAGGGUGCGAGCGUUAAUCGGAAUUACUGGGCGUAAAGCGAGCGCAGGCGGCUUUGCAAGACAGAUGUGAAAUCCCCGGGCUCAACCUGGGAACUGCAUUUGUGACUGCAAGGCUAGAGUACGGCAGAGGGGGAUGGAAUUCCGCGUGUAGCAGUGAAAUGCGUAGAUAUGCGGAGGAACACCAAUGGCGAAGGCAAUCCCCUGGGCCUGUACUGACGCUCAUGCACGAAAGCGUGGGGAGCAAACAGG